UGAGGAAUAUUGCGCAAUGGGGGAAACCCUGACGCAGCAACGCCGCGUGAGUGAGGAAGGUUUUCGGAUCGUAAAGCUCUGUCGGGUGGGAAGAAAUGUAUGGAGGUUAAUAGCCUUUGUACUUGACGGUACCGCCAAAGGAAGCACCGGCUAACUCCGUGCCAGCAGCCGCGGUAAUACGGGGGGUGCAAGCGUUGUUCGGAAUCAUUGGGCGUAAAGAGCGUGCAGGCGGCUGAGCAAGUCAGAUGUGAAAUCCCUGGGCUUAACCCAGGAAGUGCAUUUGAAACUGUGCAGCUUGAGUAAGGAAGAGGGAAGUGGAAUUCCUGGUGUAGAGGUGAAAUUCGUAGAUAUCAGGAGGAACACCGGUGGCGAAGGCGACUUCCUGGUCCUAUACUGACGCUGAGACGCGAGAGCGUGGGGAGCAAACAG
Molecule: ribosomal RNA, 429 nt
Filed under: uncultured bacterium
Lineage: Bacteria
Description: bacterial SSU rRNA
Rfam family: Bacterial small subunit ribosomal RNA
Source: RNAcentral